This 116-nucleotide non-coding RNA is filed under the name marine eukaryotic metagenome. RNAcentral describes it as "FMN riboswitch (RFN element)". It matches the Rfam family "FMN riboswitch aptamer (RFN element)". From Rfam's summary of the family: The RFN element is a highly conserved domain that is found frequently in the 5'-untranslated regions of prokaryotic mRNAs that encode for flavin mononucleotide (FMN) biosynthesis and transport proteins. This element is a metabolite-dependent riboswitch that directly binds FMN in the absence of proteins. The record is from RNAcentral.
UAUCUUCGGGGCAGGGUGAAAUUCCUGACCGGCGGUGAAAGCCCGCGACUUCCGCUUAGCGGAACUGAUUCGGUGAAAUUCCGGAGCCGACGGUAAUAGUCCGGAUGAGAGAGGAU